Long non-coding RNA from Musa acuminata AAA Group (dessert banana), 1543 nucleotides. RefSeq lists it as uncharacterized. The record is from RefSeq and is a predicted model, not a curated record. NCBI's taxonomy places the organism in Eukaryota, Viridiplantae, Streptophyta, Magnoliopsida, Zingiberales, Musaceae. The transcript is spliced from 3 exons.
CUCUCUCUCUCUCUCUCUCUCUCUCGAUCUCUCUCGACGAUCCAGUCCACUGUUGCGCUCGUUGUCGCCAAAUGGAUGAGAACAAUCAGCGGAUUGAUGCACAAGAUGCAUAACCGGUUUCUUUUUCUUCGUGCCGAGAGGCCUUCAAGAUGUUCCAUUGCUUUCAAUACCAAAAGGUGCUAAGGAAUGCUGAGCCAGACUUCAAGAUGUUCCAUUGAUUGUUAUAAGGCUCUACCAGAAGCAUUCUCAUGGACAGCACCAACCGAAUGAAGAAAGAGUAUCAUCUCUUCCCAUAUGUGCAAAUGGCGUUAAGAUGAGCAUUGACUCAAGUGCAUCACUCUCUGUUUCUGACACUAAUCCUGGCUUGCAAUACAUGGCAAAGAGGAAUGCACACUGGAAUCUGCAACAAAACAAGGACCUUUCUGCAUCUCUCUCAUGCGUUCCAAGAUAUUCAUACAAAUGGUUAAUAUGUGCUGGGGAUAUCCAGAGAGCCACACAGAACUUUACAACAGUUUUAGGACAACAAUCUUUUGGGCCAUUAUAUCAAGCUACAAUUCCAACAGGUGAAUUGGUAGCUGUUAAGGCGCUUGCAGGUAAUUCAAUCCAAGGAAAAAAGAGUUACCAACAGAGGUAUACUGCUCAGUUUUUGGACUGAAAUUGCAUGAAUGAGUUUGCUAACAUAAACUGAAAAUGUCUUCUAUUAUGGUUUAAGUUUGUUUUAGUGAGAUAAAAUUACUACUGGCAUCAAUCUGAAUUAAUACAUGAGUGAAAGCCACGAAAUCAGGCAGAAAGCUAUUUUGGAACAAUUAGACAGCUAGAUAAUCAUGUUAACCUAACCAUUUGAUUGUGUCAGAACAUAAAUAAAUCAAGUAAAUCUGGGCACACUCUCUCUCCUAUGUCUCAUGUAGGCAACCCAGUUGAUUAGACUCACACACACAUAUCCUCAAUCAAGAUCAUAAAAGGAAAAUAAAUAAACUAAUAAAUAAGAAUAUCAUCUUAGAGAAGUAAAGUAAGAUAGGGAUAGGACAACUAGGCCAUACUCUUCAAAACACAUAAUUUCAUUUAUGCAAGUUAUGAUUGUAUAUAGACUCAUAAGAUGUUCAUGUAGGAAGAUUUUUCAAUUAGACUAACACUCAUCUUCCUAAAAUUUUAUCUGAAGAGAUGAUAGUAAAUGUCAUAUGUCACCAAAAAUUCUAUCCAAAAGAAAUGUGUGGAAUGUUCAAACAUGACCCUAAUAGCUUAAACUCUUCCAAAUUUAUCUGUGUCCAUGAUAGGGGACUCAAACUAAAGAUUUUAAUUAAAAAAAAAGUGUAAAUAUGACCUAAAAUAGGAAUUAACAAUAUGGACAAAAAAAAAAUCCAAAAAGGUAAGAAAAUUAAAAGAAAACCCAAGCUAGACUCACAGAAGUCUUAAGUCAACCUAAAUAUGCCCAAACUAGACUAACCUAAGACUAGAUGUCUCAUGAUCAAUAAGAAGAAGCAUUAUGCGUGUAUAAAAACAACGAAUCAUGUCUCAUGAUGUACUUACUAUGUUGGGUGUGGUU